GGUGUCUCAUUGUAUGGCUGACUUCACUUAGCAUAAUUUCUUGGUCCAUCCAUGUUGCUGCAAAUGCCCUUAUUUCUUUCCUUUUAAUGGCUUAGUAAUAUUCCAUUGUGUAUAUGUACCACAUCUUCUUUAUCUACUCCUCUGUCAAUGGACAUUUAGGUUGUUUCCAUGUCUUGGUUAUUGUAUAAAGUGCUGCAGUGAACAUUGGAGUACGUGUGUCUUUUCGAGUCAUGGUUUUCUCUGAAUAGAUGCCCAGGAGUGGGACUGCUGGAUCAAACGGUGCAACCACUGUGGAAAACAGUAUGGAGAGGCCUCAGAAAACUAAAAAUAGAACUACCAUUUGAUAAGUAUUUAUUUUUUAAAUUCCUGUUCAUAUAGUCCUUAGAUCAAAGAGAAGAUUUAUUCGAUAUGUGAAUAUUGAAAGAAUGAAAAUAUACAGAAGUCUGGGAACACGUUCUAUUGCUGCUCUAUAGCAAAGAGGUUUAAUAUCUCAGCCAGGAUCCCACUUACUAAGGAGAACGUAAUCAUGGCACCCUAUUGCCCACCCGUCUUUCUCUGGGAUUGUUCUCUGAAGUUUGCUAAGCAGAAUUAGCUGUUGAUUCAUUUAUGAUUUAUACUUUGAGAGAGUUUGGACUAGACACGUGUGUGCCUCUCUGUCUAGAUGCCAGAUUCCUUGAGGGGCUGGAUAUGUCUUUAUUCCUGGGCACUACGUACCUAGUAUGUGUGCUAUGAAGCAUGCUAUGACAGGGCACUGGGAGGUACCCUGUGCUUGAAAACACCAGAAUCAAGGCUGAAUAACACAAGAAAGGGGGUUUAAUGGAAAGAUCUUGAGUGGCUCCUGGAAUCAAAGGAAGAAUUGAACCACCAGGUCACAGGAAAGCAACAACCAGAGCAAUUGGCUGAGCUCCCUGUAAGGGCUCUUUGCCUCUCUCGGUUCGUCCAUCUGAUGAUGAACCUCCAGCUCCCUUCUUGACCUAGUCUUGGCUCAACAUUCAAAUGCCCAGAAGAAUCCGACUAGUCCACCUGGGGCACGCUGGCAUGAGCCACCUCUGGGACCACUGGCUCUACCACGUGGAAGGCCAAGAGACUGUUUCCCAAAGGAAAGUGGCAGGUACCAGAAGAAAGGGCAAAGAAAUUCUGGAUGGACCAAAGGUACCGACACCCUCUUCCGAAGUGCUCUGGCGUAAGACAAACAUGAGUUCAAAUCCUACCUUCCCCAUCCACGAGAAACCUCAGGCUGCAAAACAUGCUGACUAUAUAAAGCCAUUCUCAAAAUACAUGGUCAUUUUCUUGGGAGAAGGUUGGUGAUGGUGGAAUGUGGAUUGCCGUCAGUUAUGCUAACAUUUCGUCUAAUCCCUUCAAAAUUAAGUAAAUUAAAUGCUAAUAAAACUCUUUGACUGAGGUGUCUACCA
Molecule: long non-coding RNA, 1412 nt
Filed under: Sus scrofa (pig)
Lineage: Eukaryota; Metazoa; Chordata; Mammalia; Artiodactyla; Suidae
Description: lncRNA (ENSSSCG00050002766.1)
Source: RNAcentral